RNAcentral lists this long non-coding RNA (249 nucleotides) under Homo sapiens (human). RNAcentral's name for it is "non-protein coding lnc-NAT8L-2:1". Lineage: Eukaryota; Metazoa; Chordata; Mammalia; Primates; Hominidae. The record is from RNAcentral.
AUGGCAGAAGACAUGAAGGUCAAAAUUAAGAACUACAGGACUGUCCCAUUUGACAGCCACUUUGUCAACUAGAACCAGAACAUGAACUGCUGGCAAAACUACCUGGACUUCUACCACUCCAAGACGGCAAUGACUGCUAAAGGGGGUGAUGUCUCUGUGUGCAAAUGGUACUGGCAUGUGUGCAAGUCCCUCUGCCCCAUAUCCUUGGUCUUGACCUGGGACAAAGGCACGUUUCCUGGGAAAAUCAGA